AAUAGAUACCCCGGUAGUCCACGCCCUAAACGAUGCUCACUAGGUGUUGGGGAAGCGAUUCCUUGGUACCGUAGCUAACGCGUGAAGUGAGCCGCCUGGGGAGUACGGCCGCAAGGUUAAAACUCAAAGGAAUUGACGGGGACCCGCACAAGCGGUGGAUGAUGUGGAUUAAUUCGAUGCAACGCGAACAACCUUACCUACCCUUGACAUGUCCGGAAGCCUGCUGAAAGGUGGGUGUGCUCGAAAGAGAACCGGAACACAGGUGCUGCAUGGCUGUCGUCAGCUCGUGUCGUGAGAUGUUGGGUUAAGUCCCGCAACGAGCGCAACCCUUGUCCCUAAUUGCUACGCAAGGGCACUCUAGGGAGACUGCCGGUGACAAACCGGAGGAAGGUGGGGAUGACGUCAAGUCCUCAUGGCCCUUAUGGGUAGGGCUUCACACGUCAUACAAUGGACGGUACAGAGGGUUGCCAACCCGCGAGGGGGAGCCAAUCCCAGAAAGCCGUUCGUAGUCCGGAUCGCAGUCUGCAACUCGACGUGUGAGU
This 542-nucleotide ribosomal RNA is filed under the name uncultured bacterium. Its description in RNAcentral is "bacterial SSU rRNA". It matches the Rfam family "Bacterial small subunit ribosomal RNA", at positions 777 to 1323 of the family's 1533-position model. The record is from RNAcentral.